RNAcentral lists this transfer RNA (63 nucleotides) under Clytra espanoli. RNAcentral's name for it is "tRNA-Phe". Lineage: Eukaryota; Metazoa; Arthropoda; Insecta; Coleoptera; Chrysomelidae. The record is from RNAcentral.
ACUUGAAUAGCUUAUAAAGAGCGUAGUAUUGAAGAUACUAAGGAAAUGUGAUAUUUUUGAGUA